Molecule: transfer RNA, 86 nt
Filed under: Pseudoxanthomonas mexicana
Lineage: Bacteria; Pseudomonadati; Pseudomonadota; Gammaproteobacteria; Lysobacterales; Lysobacteraceae
Also listed under: 10 other names
Description: tRNA-Leu
Rfam family: tRNA
About the family: Transfer RNA (tRNA) molecules are approximately 80 nucleotides in length. Their secondary structure includes four short double-helical elements and three loops (D, anti-codon, and T loops).
Source: RNAcentral
GCCGGAGUGGCGGAAUGGUAGACGCAGCGGACUCAAAAUCCGCCGCCCUUAAAAGCGUGUGGGUUCGAGUCCCACCUCCGGCACCA